GGCCGCAGUAUCCUAACUGUGCAAAGGUAGCAUAAUCAUUAGUCUUUUAAUUGAAGGCUGGAAUGAAUGGUUGGACGAGGAAUAUACUGUUUCAUUUAAAUUUAUUAUAGAAUUUUAUUUUUUAGUUAAAAAGCUAAAAUAUUAUUAAAAGACGAGAAGACCCUAUAAAUCUUUAUAUUUAUUUAUUUUUAAAUUUUUUUGAUAUAUUUUGUUUUUAAAUAAAUAAAUAUUUUGUUGGGGUGAUGUUAAAAUUUAAUGAACUUUUAAUUAAAAAAUCAUUUAUUUAUGAUUUAUUGAUCUUUUAAUAAUGAUUAUAAGAUUAAGUUACUUUAGGGAUAACAGCG
This 344-nucleotide ribosomal RNA is filed under the name Cyaforma shenonica. RNAcentral describes it as "partial 16S ribosomal RNA". The record is from RNAcentral. Lineage: Eukaryota; Metazoa; Arthropoda; Insecta; Diptera; Tephritidae.